AAUCAACGCUGGCGGCGUGCCUAACACAUGCAAGUCGAACGCGAAAGCCCCGCAAGGGGCAAGUAGAGUGGCAAACGGGUGAGUAACGCGUGGGUGACCUACCUUCGAGUGGGGGAUAACGUUCCGAAAGGGACGCUAAUACCGCAUGACAUUCUGCCUUUGAAGAGGUGGGAAUCAAAGCCUGGGACCGCAAGGCCAGGCGCUUGAAGAGGGGCCCGCGUCCGAUUAGCUAGUUGGUGAGGAACGGCUCACCAAGGCUUCGAUCGGUAGCCGGCCUAAGAGGGCGGACGGCCACACUGGGACUGAGACACGGCCCAGACUCCUACGGGAGGCAGCAGUGGGGAAUUGUUCGCAAUGGGCGCAAGCCUGACGACGCAACGCCGCGUGGAGGAUGAAGGUCUUCGGAUUGUAAACUCCUGUUGCCCGGGACGAAUAGCUCCGACCUAACACGUCGGAGUCUGACGGUACCGGGUGAGGAAG
This 480-nucleotide ribosomal RNA is filed under the name uncultured bacterium. RNAcentral describes it as "bacterial SSU rRNA". It matches the Rfam family "Bacterial small subunit ribosomal RNA", at positions 29 to 490 of the family's 1533-position model. The record is from RNAcentral.